RNAcentral lists this ribosomal RNA (376 nucleotides) under uncultured organism. RNAcentral's name for it is "partial 16S ribosomal RNA". It matches the Rfam family "Bacterial small subunit ribosomal RNA", at positions 527 to 896 of the family's 1533-position model. The record is from RNAcentral.
GUAGGUGGCAAGCGUUGUCCGGAAUUAUUGGGCGUAAAGCGCGCGCAGGCGGGUCCUUUUAAGUCUGAUGUGAAAAGCCCACGGGCUCAACCGUGGAGGGUCAUUGGAAACUGGGGGACUUGAGUACAGAAGAGGAAAGCGGAAUUCCAAGUGUAGCGGUGAAAUGCGUAGAGAUUUGGAGGAACACCAGUGGCGAAGGCGGCUUUCUGGUCUGUAACUGACGCUGAGGCGCGAAAGCGUGGGGAGCAAACAGGAUUAGAUACCCUGGUAGUCCACGCCGUAAACGAUGAGUGCUAAGUGUUAGGGGGUUUCCGCCCCUUAGUGCUGCAGCUAACGCAUUAAGCACUCCGCCUGGGGAGUACGGCCGCAAAGGCUG